GACGAACGCUGGCGGCGUGCUUAAUACAUGCAAGUCGGACGAUGAACCCGGAGCUUGCUCCGGUGGAUUAGUGGCGAACGGGUGAGUAACACGUGAGUAACCUGCCCUUGACUCUGGGAUAACUGCGGGAAACUGUAGCUAAUACCGGAUACGACCCUCGGCGGCAUCGCCAGGGGGUGGAAAGAAUUUCGGUCAAGGAUGGACUCGCGGCCUAUCAGCUAGUUGGUGAGGUAACGGCUCACCAAGGCGACGACGGGUAGCCGGCCUGAGAGGGUGACCGGCCACGCUGGGACUGAGACACGGCCCAGACUCCUACGGGAGGCAGCAGUGGGGAAUAUUGCACAAUGGGCGCAAGCCUGAUGCAGCAACGCCGCGUGAGGGAUGACGGCCUUCGGGUUGUAAACCUCUUUUAGUAGGGAAGAAGCGAAAGUGACGGUACCUGCAGAAAAAGCACCGGCUAACUACGUGCCAGCCGCCGCUGUAA
Molecule: ribosomal RNA, 484 nt
Filed under: uncultured bacterium
Lineage: Bacteria
Description: partial 16S ribosomal RNA
Rfam family: Bacterial small subunit ribosomal RNA
Source: RNAcentral